GCGAAAGCGAGUCUGAAUAGGGCGUUGAGUAUUUGGUCGUAGACCCGAAACCAGGUGAUCUACCCUUGGUCAGGUUGAAGUUCAGGUAACACUGAAUGGAGGACCGAACCGACUUACGUUGAAAAGUGAGCGGAUGAACUGAGGGUAGCGGAGAAAUUCCAAUCGAACUUGGAGAUAGCUGGUUCUCUCCGAAAUAGCUUUAGGGCUAGCCUCAAGUGAUGAUUAUUGGAGGUAGAGCACUGUUUGGACGAGGGGCCCCUCUCGGGUUACCGAAUUCAGACAAACUCCGAAUGCCAAUUAAUUUAACUUGGGAGUCAGAACAUGGGUGAUAAGGUCCGUGUUCGAAAGGGAAACAGCCCAGACCACCAGCUAAGGUCCCAAAAUAUAUGUUAAGUGGAAAAGGAUGUGGCGUUGCCCAGACAACUAGGAUGUUGGCUUAGAAGCAGCCAUCAUUUAAAGAGUGCGUAAUAGCUCACUAGUCGAGUGACACUGCGCCGAAAAUGUACCGGGGCUAAACAUAUUACCGAAGCUGUGGAUUGUCCUUUGGACAAUGGUAGGAGAGCGUUCUAAGGGCGUCGAAGCAUGAUCGCAAGGACAUGUGGAGCGCUUAGAAGUGAGAAUGCCGGUGUGAGUAGCGAAAGACGGGUGAGAAUCCCGUCCACCGAUUGACUAAGGUUUCCAGAGGAAGGCGAGUCCGUGCUGGGUUAGCCGGGUCCUAAGCUGAGGCCGACAGGCGUAGGAGAUGGAUAACAGGUUGAUUUUUCUGUACCACCUAGUAUCGUUUUAAUCGA
This 791-nucleotide ribosomal RNA is filed under the name Staphylococcus epidermidis. Its description in RNAcentral is "bacterial LSU rRNA". It matches the Rfam family "Bacterial large subunit ribosomal RNA", at positions 671 to 1464 of the family's 2925-position model. Lineage: Bacteria; Bacillati; Bacillota; Bacilli; Caryophanales; Staphylococcaceae. The record is from RNAcentral.